AGAGUUUGAUCCUGGCUCAGCCUGAACGCUGGCGGCGUGGCUAAGACAUGCAAGUCGAACGGGUGUAGCAAUACACCAGUGGCGGACGGGUGAGUAAUGAAUCGCUAACGUACCCCGGAGCCAGGGAUAGCUGCCCGAAAGGGCAGGUAAUACCUGAUGAGACCACAGGCAGGCAUCUGCCGGUGCUCAAAGCCGCAAGGCACUCUGGGAGCGGGCGAUUUUGUAUCAGCUAGUUGGUGAGGUAAUGGCUCACCAAGGCGACGACGCAUAGCCGGACUGAGAGGUUGGCCGGCCACAUUGGGACUGAGACACUGCCCAGACUCCUACGGGGGGCUGCAGUAACGAAUCUUCCGCAAUGCACGAAAGUGUGACGGAGCGACGCCGCGUGUAGGACGAAGCCCUUCGGGGUGUAAACUACUGUCAGGGGAAAGAAAGUUCUGAUCUACCCCAGAGGAAGGGACGGCUAACUCUGUGCCAGCAGCCGCGGUAAGACAGAGGUCCCGAGCGUUAGGCGGAAUCACUGGGCUUAAAGCGUGUGUAGGCGGAUUUGUAAGUACCUUGUGAAAUCCCACGGCUUAACCGUGGAACUGCUUGGUAUACUGCUUAUCUUGGGCCAUCUAGGGGCGAGCGGAACAAACGGUGGAGCGGUGAAAUGCGUAGAUAUCGUUUGGAACGCCAAUGGUGAAAACAGCUCGCUGGGGAUGUGCCGACGCUGAGAUACGAAAGCCAGGGGAGCGAACGGGAUUAGAUACCCCAGUAGUCC
This 763-nucleotide ribosomal RNA is filed under the name uncultured bacterium. RNAcentral's name for it is "bacterial SSU rRNA". It matches the Rfam family "Bacterial small subunit ribosomal RNA", at positions 8 to 796 of the family's 1533-position model. The record is from RNAcentral.